This 576-nucleotide ribosomal RNA is filed under the name Trichoderma viride. RNAcentral describes it as "eukaryotic LSU rRNA". The stretch from base 185 to 338 matches the Rfam family "5.8S ribosomal RNA". The record is from RNAcentral. Lineage: Eukaryota; Fungi; Ascomycota; Sordariomycetes; Hypocreales; Hypocreaceae.
AAUCGAAGGUUCACUCCAACCCAAUGUGAACCAUACCAAACUGUUGCCUCGGCGGGGUCACGCCCCGGGUGCGUCGCAGCCCCGGAACCAGGCGCCCGCCGGAGGGACCAACCAAACUCUUUUCUGUAGUCCCCUCGCGGACGUUAUUUCUUACAGCUCUGAGCAAAAAUUCAAAAUGAAUCAAAACUUUCAACAACGGAUCUCUUGGUUCUGGCAUCGAUGAAGAACGCAGCGAAAUGCGAUAAGUAAUGUGAAUUGCAGAAUUCAGUGAAUCAUCGAAUCUUUGAACGCACAUUGCGCCCGCCAGUAUUCUGGCGGGCAUGCCUGUCCGAGCGUCAUUUCAACCCUCGAACCCCUCCGGGGGGUCGGCGUUGGGGACCUCGGGAGCCCCUAAGACGGGAUCCCGGCCCCGAAAUACAGUGGCGGUCUCGCCGCAGCCUCUCCUGCGCAGUAGUUUGCACAACUCGCACCGGGAGCGCGGCGCGUCCACGUCCGUAAAACACCCAACUUCUGAAAUGUUGACCUCGGAUCAGGUAGGAAUACCCGCUGAACUUAAGCAUAUCAAUAAGCGGAGGA